CGGGGCAUGGUGUAACGGUAACAUUUACGAUUCGGGUUCGUAAGACUCUGGGUUCAAAUCCCAGUGCCCCGA
Molecule: transfer RNA, 72 nt
Filed under: bacterium
Lineage: Bacteria
Description: tRNA-Pro
Rfam family: tRNA
About the family: Transfer RNA (tRNA) molecules are approximately 80 nucleotides in length. Their secondary structure includes four short double-helical elements and three loops (D, anti-codon, and T loops). Further hydrogen bonds mediate the characteristic L-shaped molecular structure. tRNAs have two regions of fundamental functional importance: the anti-codon, which is responsible for specific mRNA codon recognition, and the 3' end, to which the tRNAs corresponding amino acid is attached (by aminoacyl-tRNA synthetases). tRNAs cope with the degeneracy of the genetic code in two manners: having more than one tRNA (with a specific anti-codon) for a particular amino acid; and 'wobble' base-pairing, i.e. permitting non-standard base-pairing at the 3rd anti-codon position.
Source: RNAcentral